UAUUAAUUUUCAUUGUGUGCAUUUCCUUUGUCAGUCUUCAAAGGCAUGAUUUUUGAUAGCUGUAGAGUAAUUCCACUAUAUGAAUUUAUCACAACUUAUUUAAUGAUUCCUAUUUGUUGGACUAGUUUCUUAUUGUUAAUUACCGUUAAAUAAUGGAUUUUAUUUAAAAAUAAUUUUCUUGCUACAGCAUUUAAUUUCCUUGAGUGUGGAGAGAAGCAGUUCUGUCCCUUGAUAAAGAAUUGUAAUAAAUCUGCCUGAAACUUUUUCUUACAUCACCAAAUAACUAGAUAAAUUUCUUAAUUAUUUUGUUCCUUUGGGUUGAUUAAACCACCUAGAAUAUGAUCUGAGUGGUGAAGAAAGGGAUCUGAAAGCAGGAGUGAAGUUCGAGGCUGGAAGACGGUAGGGGCGGGGAGGGUGCUCCAAGCUAAUCCCUAUGGUUGAGCUGAGAGGGAGUUUCAGACACUGAAAGAGACAGGAGACGCCAAAGACCCAAUGAGAAAUGACACUUCAGCAUCAUUCAGCAAAGUUAUCAGGUCACAAGGCAGUAAACUGCUGUCCUGUCCUCAUCUGUAGACUACUCACUAGGUUAUAGAAGAAAAACAUUUCAACCUACAUAUUAAUGGAAUCAGAAAGGCUUAGGGAAAAGAGUCAGCAAGACCCAUGUUCAGAAUUUGCUGAGCCUCAGUUUCCUCAUCUGUGAAACGGGAGUAACAUAGAGUCUGAUGGGCCAGUGUGAUACUCACACGGGCAGCGGAGAUGUGACAGGCAGCAAUGGGCAACUCUACGAGCUGGAGGAAUGUCAGAG
This is a non-coding RNA of Delphinapterus leucas (beluga whale), 805 nucleotides long. NCBI's taxonomy places the organism in Eukaryota, Metazoa, Chordata, Mammalia, Artiodactyla, Monodontidae. The record is from RefSeq and is a predicted model, not a curated record.